RNAcentral lists this ribosomal RNA (517 nucleotides) under uncultured bacterium. Its description in RNAcentral is "bacterial SSU rRNA". It matches the Rfam family "Bacterial small subunit ribosomal RNA", at positions 8 to 518 of the family's 1533-position model. The record is from RNAcentral.
AGAGUUUGAUUAUGGCUCAGAUUGAACGCUGGCGGCGUGCCUAACACAUGCAAGUCGAGCGGUAACAGGUGUAGCAAUACAUGCUGACGAGCGGCGAACGGGUGAGUAAUGCUUCGGAAUCUACCCAAUGGCGGGGAAUAACUAGCCGAAAGGUUAGCUAAUACCGCAUAAGCCCUACGGGGGAAAGCAGGGGAUCGUAAGACCUUGCACCGAUGGAUGAGCCGAAGCCGGAUUAGCUAGUUGGUAGGGUAACGGCCUACCAAGGCGACGAUCCGUAGCUGGUCUGAGAGGACGACCAGCCACACUGGGACUGAGACACGGCCCAGACUCCUACGGGAGGCAGCAGUGGGGAAUAUUGGACAAUGGGGGAAACCCUGAUCCAGCGACGCCGCGUGUGUGAAGAAGGCCUGCGGGUUGUAAAGCACUUUUAGUGGGGAUGAAAAGUUCAGGGCUAAUAUCCUUGGAUCUUGACCUAACCCAAAGAAAAAGCACCGGCUAACUCUGUGCCAGCCGCUGC